This 1039-nucleotide unclassified non-coding RNA is filed under the name Hevea brasiliensis (rubber tree). Lineage: Eukaryota; Viridiplantae; Streptophyta; Magnoliopsida; Malpighiales; Euphorbiaceae. The record is from RNAcentral.
UGAGGUGAGAAAUUUUUCACAUGCUUAACCUCGUUUAAUCUUUGUAUGGAUUUAUCCCUUGAAUAUCAAACAGUCAAUAUGGAAAUUUGGCCUAAAGACAAGAAAAUGUUCGACGUUCCGGUAAUAGAAACAAAAUGCUAAUCAUGGUUAAUGCAGCUGCAAUGGCUCAAUAAAACCUAAUUGUCAUUGGGAAUGACGUCCUUGUCCAUGGCAAACAAGAGGAAAUAAAAAGGAGGGGCCUGUGAAAAGAAAGAGACUCGAAAUAGCAAAAAUGACUAAUGAGACUUGGCUGGGGGCCAGAGAAAAAGGAAGGUGCAUAGAUGAUAUGUCCUUGACCAGACGUUCCUGAUGCUAUUCCCACAGCACAUAGGGAUGUGUGCUCUUCUAGCUGCGUUUCUCUUUCUCUCUAUCUCUCUCUGACCCUUAUGACAAUUUUCAGAGACUUGGAACGUGUCCUUUCGCCUUUGACUUUGCCCAUUCCCAUCAACCACACCAUCCUUUGAGAUCUACCGCGUCACUCGUAUCUGCUCUCUGAUUAACAUCGCAUGUACAAAAUCAACAGAAUUGUAUUUAUAUUAUAUUAUCAUCUCUUGGUGAAGCAGGCGAACAAAAGUUGCCUGUUGGCUUGGCAAAUUGAAGUCAUCCUCUUCUGCUAAAGAAUCUUUAGGGGAUCAUGGAAUUGAAUUUGUACAAAAGCCAGCUGAAGCCGAAAAGGAUGGUACAAAAAAGAGCAGGCGCAGUAGACACUGGACAAUGAAUGGUUGAUCGAUGAAACUAUUAUAUCUAUGUAUACGGAUGUCCUAAAGUCAAUUGAAAAAGAGAAGCAUCAUUGCAUUUUGUCAACAUCACAUUUUCAACAAUAUAAAACAAAUUCAUACCUUAUAAAUAUAUAUUAUAUAGCAUUAUAGCCCCACUCACUUUGACCAGGCAAUGAAGCCCCAGCCAGCAUCCCAAUUCACAUGCACCCAUAUCUACCAGCUAGCUCUAGCAAAGAGAUAAAUAAGCUUUUUUUUCCAAAAAAAAAAAAGUUGAGCAGUAA